CCUACGGGAGGCAGCAGUGAGGAAUAUUGGUCAAUGGCCGUAAGGCUGAACCAGCCAAGUCGCGUGAAGGAAGAAGGAUCUAUGGUUUGUAAAUUUCUUUUAUAGGGGAAUAAAGGUAUCCAUGUGUGGAUAUUUGCAUGUACCCUAUGAAUAAGCAUCGGCUAACUCCGUGCCAGCAGCCGCGGUAAUACGGAGGAUGGGAGCGUUAACCGGAUUUAUUGGGUUUAAAGGGUGCGUAGGCGGUGAGGUAAGUUAGCGGGGAAAUGCCCCCGGUCAACGGGGUGAAGUGCCAUUGAUACUGCCUUGCUAGAGUGCGGAUGCGGUGGGAGGAAUGUGUGGUGUAGCGGUGAAAUGCGUAGAGAUCACGCAGAACACCGAUUGCGAAGGCGUCUCCCGAGACCGCGAUUGACGCUGAUGCGCGAAAGCGUGGGUAUCAAACAGGAUUAGAUACCCUUGUAGUC
RNAcentral lists this ribosomal RNA (461 nucleotides) under uncultured bacterium. RNAcentral's name for it is "partial 16S ribosomal RNA". It matches the Rfam family "Bacterial small subunit ribosomal RNA", at positions 338 to 795 of the family's 1533-position model. The record is from RNAcentral.